UACGUAGGGGGCAAGCGUUGUCCGGAUUUAUUGGGCGUAAAGAGCGUGUAGGCGGUCAGGUAGGUGGGUUGUGAAAACUGGAGGCUCAACCUUCAGACGUCGACCCAAACCCCCUGGCUAGAGUCCGGAAGAGGAGAGUGGAAUUCCUGGUGUAGCGGUGAAAUGCGUAGAUAUCUGGAGGAACACCGGUGGCGAAGGCGGCAUCCUGGACCAAUACUGACGCUGAGGAGCGAAAGCCAGGGGAGCAAACGGG
Molecule: ribosomal RNA, 253 nt
Filed under: uncultured bacterium
Lineage: Bacteria
Description: partial 16S ribosomal RNA
Rfam family: Bacterial small subunit ribosomal RNA
Source: RNAcentral